Molecule: ribosomal RNA, 253 nt
Filed under: uncultured bacterium
Lineage: Bacteria
Description: partial 16S ribosomal RNA
Rfam family: Bacterial small subunit ribosomal RNA
Source: RNAcentral
UACGUAGGGCGCAAGCGUUAUCCGGAAUCAUUGGGUUUAAAGGGUCCGUAGGCGGUUUGGUAAGUCAGUGGUGAAAGCCCAUCGCUCAACGGUGGAACGGCCAUUGAUACUGCCAGACUUGAAUUAUUAGGAAGUAACUAGAAUAUGUAGUGUAGCGGUGAAAUGCUUAGAGAUUACAUGGAAUACCAAUUGCGAAGGCAGGUUACUACUAAUGGAUUGACGCUGAUGGACGAAAGCGUGGGUAGCGAACAGG